CCGUGGGGAUUCGUCUCCAUCGAGAUAGCACCCUUUGUUCAUGAGUACCAUUUGUUUCCUCGGCGGGUCUGUCUGGACCCGCCGCUAGGACCCCCCUAAAAAACCUUUGUAGUUGCAGUACCUUCAGUUGGUAAACAAAAUAUCA
This 145-nucleotide unclassified non-coding RNA is filed under the name uncultured fungus. RNAcentral describes it as "sequence contains ITS1". Lineage: Eukaryota; Fungi. The record is from RNAcentral.